Molecule: long non-coding RNA, 419 nt
Organism: Myotis davidii
Lineage: Eukaryota; Metazoa; Chordata; Mammalia; Chiroptera; Vespertilionidae
Exons: 3
Source: RefSeq, a predicted model, not a curated record
AAUUGCUAAGCUGAAAAUAUAGUUAUAACUGCUUAUUAUUCUAAUGUAUUUUCUUUUCCUUUUUGGGAGCUGAUGCAGAUGAAAUAAAAGAUAGAGGGAGAGAUCCCGUCUACAAUACAAAGCCAUCCUGGAUUUUCGUUGGUGUUUUUGAAAUUUCAUUGGCUGUUUUUGACUUACAUUCAAGUCAGAGUUUGGAGCGCAGCGCGCUGGAAAGCCAUCUUCUCCUUGCAAGGUGAGACGUGGGACUGGAGAGAGAGCAGAUGGAAGGUUCAUUCUCCGGCAGUGGGCAGACUCUCUGACAGCCUGGGAGGAUUUGACACCCCUCCUGGCAGCCAGUCCAACAGCGAAGGAAAUGUCUGCUGGAACCAAGCAUGCCACUAAUCAAAUAAAGAUGCAGAACCAUAAAACAGACUCCAUUU